UCCAUUAAAGGUGUUAGAUAUAUUAUAUUUAGUUUAUAUUUAUCUUUAUCUUUUAUCUUUUAGUUAGUUUGUUAUUAUUUCUUAUUUGUAUUUUGGGCCUAGCCCAUAUUUCUUCUAUUAUAAAUAGAGAAGAACCUUAUGUGUAUUUAACACAAAGGAGAUUAAUCCCAAAUAUAGUUUUUCACUAUAUUCAACAAAAGGCAACCCAUGCCAAUACCAACUAUCUAUAUAAACUUGUAUCAACUUCCAUACUCCACCGUAGCUUCGGACCUGUCUCCCUUGUUGCUCAAGGCUUAUGAGUAAAAGCUCCAAGUCGCUCUCAUCUACACUAAACUCGGCAUGAGCCAAAAUCCUACGAGUGAGACAUUCAUCCCUUUAUACCCCCCUCGAAAGAGAUAAUGGCAGAACUCAAAUCUCACUCUCUUCUACUGCCCCUCAUGGACAAAGAGACUCAUCUCUUCCACUGUCUCUUAAAGACGAAAAGAUCCACAUUGCUACCCCUCACAAAAGGAAAGGUCAGCCACUAUCUUGGGGUUCUGACUCCAAUCACUAUGACCCAUUCACAAACACAACUUCAACCUUGUCCACAACCAUUAUCCUUAACCACAAUCACUAAUAACACUUAAUCACACAAAUCGAGAUAUUCAACAACAUUAAGUAUAUCACACACGUUAGAAGGAGUAUUAAAAAUAUCUAACCCCAC
RNAcentral lists this long non-coding RNA (703 nucleotides) under Vigna radiata. Its description in RNAcentral is "long non-coding RNA (VRAD_LNC011335)". The record is from RNAcentral. Lineage: Eukaryota; Viridiplantae; Streptophyta; Magnoliopsida; Fabales; Fabaceae.